AGAAAACACGUGGGCAGUGGUAAAGCUAAUUAAAGAAGAAUAUUUUGCCGAGGUAGCGGUUAAGCAAAGGAGGGAAACCCGCUUUCAGCUGUUUUGACUCCACUGUAAACUUUCUCAACGACACGCCCCACGGAAUCCCCGACAAACUGGAGCUUUCUUCGUCGCUAUGUCUUGAUAACCGGUCGGAGCAGAGAUUCACAUUGGCCGUUGUGUAUUGUGGAUCAUCAUCUUGUUGGGAGCUGAACCGAGAAUGGCACAUAAGAACAUACCAGUGCUGUGGGCCACCAGGACUCGAAAUGACUGAUUUAAGAGAUGCAGUUUGUGCUGUGACUGGAGUUUGUGUGGUACUGGCAGAACAAUGAAUAGGAAAAUGUGUUUAUUUGCAUUUCAGUUCAAACAACCCAAUUUCACUCCACGCUUUUGGUUGUUCUCAUGCAUUCAUUUGGCUUUAUGCAAAAAAUAAAGCUUUAAACCAUUUUCCUGGUUUGGCAGUACUUCAGA
Molecule: long non-coding RNA, 501 nt
Organism: Carassius gibelio (silver crucian carp)
Lineage: Eukaryota; Metazoa; Chordata; Actinopteri; Cypriniformes; Cyprinidae
Exons: 3
Source: RefSeq, a predicted model, not a curated record